CACCAGCCUUGGCCUCCCAAAGUGCUGGGAUUACAGGUGUGAGCCACCGCGCUCGGCCAGAAAUAUAUGAUUUUUAAAUAAGAAAUUUUGUUUACCUAAAUAGUUUUGUACUAUGCCUUAUAGUUCUGCAACAUGCCUUUUUUAAAAAAUUGCGUAAAGUCUGGAAGAAUUUUGUGUCAUUGAAUUAUAGAUCAACUUCAUUCUUUACCGCUGCACAGCAUGCUGCUAUAUCAUAAAUUAUUGACUAUUUUUAUAACAAUUGUAUUUAGGUUGUUUCCAGGUUUGUGCUAACGUAAGCAAGCUGCACUCUUUGGCUGUGUCCUUUUGUCUGGUGUAUUUCUAGAAAUAUAAAGAAAAUCGGAGUCUAUGAUAAGCACCUUUGAAAAGCUAAUGAAUGUUGCUGAUUCACCUUUGAAAUUUGCCACAUUAUAUUCUCACUAGUAGUACAUGAGAAUAUAUGUUUUCCUACAAACUUCAAGCUGAAUGUUAUAAUGUAUCCUCCCUUUAGUCAAUCUGACUGGAGUGGGGGGGCUGGGGAAGAGAAAACUCAUUCUAAUUUACAUUUCCCUGAACACCAGUAAUACCAACCAAAUUUUGUAUGUUUAUUGGCUAUUUUAAUUACCUCUUUUAUGAAUGACCUUUUUAUAUUUUCCAUCCACCCAUUUAAAUUUUUUUUUUCCUUUUUUAAAAAAUAGAGAUGGGGUGUCACUACGUUGACCAGGCUGCUUUUGAACUCCCGGCUUCAAGCGAUCCUCCCACCUUGUCCUCCCAAAGUACUUGGAUUACAGGGAAAUAAUAUGUAUGUCUCCUUCUGGGGAGCUGAAGAAAUGGGAUAUGUGCUUCCCGGAGAGACAGGUGUUGUGAACAUACACAGAUCUAAAAGAGAGAAAAGAUAAAAAGUUCAUGAAAGCUGGAGACAAAGAAUAAAUGCAAUGUUUGCUUUGAGGUGAAAAAUAAAAAUAAAAAAAAGGUGAGUGUAACUGCUGUGCUUUCAGUGUCCUUCUCCCUAGAAAAGAGACCCUCUGUUGUAAAAAUCUGUUUUCUUUGAAAACAGUUUGUAUUAACUAAAGAAAAGUAAAGAAAGUAAAGAGGAGGCAACAUUUAAUAUUGAUAAAUGCAGGAAAGCCACUUAUCAAUUAAAGGAGUCUUGGACCACCGAGCUGAU
Molecule: long non-coding RNA, 1165 nt
Filed under: Papio anubis (olive baboon)
Lineage: Eukaryota; Metazoa; Chordata; Mammalia; Primates; Cercopithecidae
Description: lncRNA (ENSPANG00000048575.1)
Source: RNAcentral